This 433-nucleotide ribosomal RNA is filed under the name uncultured bacterium. Its description in RNAcentral is "partial 16S ribosomal RNA". It matches the Rfam family "Bacterial small subunit ribosomal RNA", at positions 29 to 507 of the family's 1533-position model. The record is from RNAcentral.
AACGAACGCUGGCGGCAUGCCUAACACAUGCAAGUCGAACGAGACCUUCGGGUCUAGUGGCGCACGGGUGCGUAACGCGUGGGAACCUGCCCUUAGGUUCGGAAUAACUCCCCGAAAGGGGUGCUAAUACCGGAUAAUGUCUUCGGACCAAAGAUUUAUCGCCUUUGGAUGGGCCCGCGUUGGAUUAGCUAGUUGGUAGGGUAAAAGCCUACCAAGGCGACGAUCCAUAGCUGGUCUGAGAGGAUGAUCAGCCACACUGGGACUGAGACACGGCCCAGACUCCUAGCGGCGGCAGCAAAUAUGAAUCUUUGACAAUGGGCCAGAGCCUGAUCCAGCAAUGCCGCGUGAGUGAUCUACGCCUUAUGAUCGUAUUGCUCUUUUACCCGGGCUGAUAAUGACAGUACCUGCAGAAUAAGCACCGGCUAACUCCGUG